Molecule: non-coding RNA, 388 nt
Organism: Pelobates cultripes (western spadefoot toad)
Lineage: Eukaryota; Metazoa; Chordata; Amphibia; Anura; Pelobatidae
Source: the annotation of a GenBank genome assembly
AGGACUGCCUGAGCUCCCAGACAGACCCCAGAAUUGUGAUCGCUGGCGGGGUACCGCCAGCGAUCAGGUAAGUACGUCUGCGGUGGUACCGGACUUUUUUGUCGGACGUGCCUGGUACGUCCAUGGUCGGGAAGGGGUUAAAUGCAUGCAUGUUUUAUUUUGGGGUAUAUCUACUAAAUUGUGAUUAUUUAUUUCGCAUUUGGGAAGUAGAACACCACAAGAUUGUCUCAUGGCACUCCCAGUAGCCGAAGAGACCAGCAGCAUUAACAUUUAAAAUAUGCAAAGGCCUCCGAAAUUAACAGAUCCACUUGAAAUCUGCAAUGUAAACGUUGCAGAUUCUAAAAUCUUAGGACUACUGCACUGAGAUAGUGAUAAUAUAAACAAGGAG